This 253-nucleotide ribosomal RNA is filed under the name uncultured bacterium. RNAcentral describes it as "partial 16S ribosomal RNA". It matches the Rfam family "Bacterial small subunit ribosomal RNA", at positions 524 to 776 of the family's 1533-position model. The record is from RNAcentral.
UACGAAGGGGGCUAGCGUUGCUCGGAAUCACUGGGCGUAAAGCGCACGUAGGAGGAUUGCUAAGUCAGGGGUGAAAUCCUGGAGCUCAACUCCAGAACUGCCUUUGAUACUGGCGAUCUUGAGUCCGGGAGAGGUGAGUGGAACUGCGAGUGUAGAGGUGAAAUUCGUAGAUAUUCGCAAGAACACCAGUGGCGAAGGCGGCUCACUGGCCCGAUACUGACGCUGAGGCACGAAAGCGUGGGGAGCAAACAGG